CAUGCCCUGGUCGCAAGGCAUCCAUAACCCUCUCGGAACGGAGGAGCGAUUGAAGAAGAUCUUCGUCCCGAACUUUUUGCCUUCAAAAAAUAAGCAACCGCUUUGAAGUCGCUGAUUGAAUCAACGAUCGACAAAGUGAGGAAGUGGGGUGACCCGUACGAUAUAAGGUCACCAACGGUGUAACCCAUAAGCACCAGAUCUAGUCGAAUGAACAGAAAUAUGCCCGUAGUGCAAGUGGGAUUUGCAGGGACUUGCACUUGAUGACCGUGCGCUUUCUUGUGCGCGGUGCCGGGGUGGAACCGAUUCAGGAGGUGACUUCUGACACGGUUGCUUUCUACCGGCUUCUGCGGGUGUUUUUAUAUGUUAAGUUUUACAGCUGAACCGUAUACCGCUGUAUUCCGGUGAGCAGAUGACAGUUACAGUCGCCGGGUGAAAAAAACUUCAGCGUCUCCUUCGUCAUUUUUUUUUGAAGUCGAUCAACAUUCUACCCGGCGUGGUGCCGUCACAUUCCGACUAUAAUUAGGAGAUCAAAAAAGAAGAGUCAAGAUGUCUGUCUUCCGCCAGGACAGGAAUGUCUAUGUAUAGAACACCGAACGCUUCGAAAUGACCACCCACCGCCGAUCCUGACAUCGAGACUAGACGUGGAGACGGCUGCCAAAGGAAAAGUCAGUGGGCCGACAGCGCGCUAUUGGGUCACAACACAUGGUAUCAAUGGUUCUACAAUUCGACGUUGUUCGUGUACAGCCAAGGAACGUUACAUUUUGCUUGCUAAAUCACAGGAAACGAUUUUAUCUAGGAUUUCAACACGGCUUAGGGCAUGUUGCCAUUAAGUCGUAGACAAUCAGUUCCUUAUCAUACCCUUUCGGCAGUUGUAAACAAACUAUAUAUAUCUUGUAUGUCAUUAUUUGCGCGGCUGAAGGAUAAAUGUAUGGGUUUGUUUUGCGUUGACCUGACUUUGUUUGUUAAUCAUUUCCCACAUUUCUAGGUCUCAUUCCGCGCAAAACUUCCGUUGGUUAUGGCUCAUUUUCGACGGAGCGCAUGGACCAGCAACACCACCAUUAGCUGUUUCUAUGUGAGGUACAUAAAGAAAAAACCGAUGGGCGGGACCGUGCUACGUAAAACACGAUCCCGCCCAUCGAUAAAUCAACUGACGAACGUCACUGACCUUCAAGUGCGACACUAACAAUGAAUCACUUCAAUUCUCGCUGGAAUAAUAACACAACAAACAAAAAAUUAGUGCACUUGUUAACAGGUAUUGUAAUUUCCGAAAUAUAUAAACGUUACUUGAAAAAGACAGAGCUUGGUAUAUAUUUUACCUUUAUAUAAACCACUUACGGGCAGUUAUAGUAGCACGCUAGAAAGGUGACAGUGUAUGGAGAUGUCUGAAGUUCACCGAUUCUGAUUCGCUUCAUGGUGUUCAGUCAGAGUACACAACCUAUUUUAAAUGACAGAUCGCACUGGCCUGCAACAGCAGUUCAGGGUAAUAUAAUCCCUUUUCCGUUUCAGAUGCGGUAAACUUUCAAAGGAAUGGUAUAAUAUACUUAAUUUGGCGAUCGAAUUUUUUUUUUUUUUAGAGAAAAUGUUCUCAAUUCGAUCUAUUAUUGAGUUGAGAAUAAUUCGAGGAAAAUUUUAUCUGGUUGUUUGAAGUUUUUUAAUAUUUUCUCUCUAUAUCUUUAACCAUUGGUAACUUGACAUAGUUUGAUAGAGUGAUGAUCUAUUCGCUAUGUAUAGGGAAAUAUUAAAAAUAAUAAUUACUAGACCUGUUCGACUUGUAAAGACAGUGUUUUAUCUUUAAGCAUGUUUACUUUUGAAAGUACUCUGUAUUUGACUACAUCAGUACCCUUAGAUUUCCAAGGCACGUACUAACUGUGUUAGCCAUUUUUAAAGAGAUGGCUAUCGAAUUGGAGAAGACGAUAAAACAAACAAGUUUUCGGCUAUCUUAAAACAACGACAGAAAAUAUGCAUUCUUUUGCACCGAACAUUACUGGUGGCUAUUAAAUGUAAAGUACAGUAAGUAUAUAUAUAUCAGAUCAACGAUUUGAGCUAUUAUUAAUAGCCUAAUAAUAGGCCAACUAUGGAGAACAUAUUGCUACAAAGUCUACGGUAAGUACUCAGAUGUAGAAAGCUCUUUCACAAGACUGUGUUAGUGCCAUAGAAUUUUACAUAAAUAUAAUUAAGAAUUCAUUUAUACGCCACUGCACACAAUAUGCUGUCGACUAUAUAAUGCGCCGCGGGAUUCGAACGGGAAAACGUGGCAUAGAUCGAGUAAACGCACUAAUUGGCUCUUUGGGAUGAAGAUCUCGUUUCAUUCUGGGCUUAGACCCUUGGAACUGUCAGUUCUUUCCUAUACUUCAUAUAGACAUAGAGACUCCACUUGUUGCCAUCAAUAACAGCUCCGUAUAGGAAGCUAUUAUUGUGGCUGCGUAUCGUCCGAAUCAAUGUGAAGCUUCACUUUUUCGCGUAUCUCACCCAGACUAUGGCCCAGCUGCGCUCGUAAUUUUUGAUAAAAUACAUACAUACAUACAUUUAUAGAUGCCUCGAUGGUAGUCUAGUGUUCAGAGUUUAUACUUCUUGGUCAACUGAUACGUCGCUUGCCACUCAUUGCUUUAUCGAUUUCGGGUGCCCGACCAAGGUCGGGCGGCAUUUUCCAAAUUUGAGAUCCUCUUUUUGAAUUUGGCAAGCCUAUCUUUGGAGCCUCAACACAACAUAAAAUCCUCUUCACCAAAAGAAAAAAAUAUUAUUUUCGUAUAAUAUAUAAAUAUAUAAAAAAAGCAAACAGGGCAGAGAAAAAGUGAAAAGCGAACAUGAAGACAAAUGUAACUGAUUCAGGUUCCAACUUUUUCUUCAGAUCUCAUUUCAUCGGCCAGCAUACUUAAAUGAAGUAUCCAAUUUACGCCAAUUUAGCAUAUUCUAAUGUCGGCUAGACGGGAAAAAAGAAUUCUAAUGUUCACGUAAGUUUCUACCCCAAAAAAAAACAGCAUAUUUAAAAAUCUUUUUCAUCCACAACUUUGUUUCCAUUAUUUGUUUGAAUUAAAAACUGGCAAAAAAUUACAUGUUUUAGAAAGUAUCAUACAAUCACCAAAUUUUGCAAUAGACUACUGAAUUUCUAAAUAACUACGGUAUGUAAUGAGCGCUGUGUGGAAAUAUCAUCAGCAAAACUUCUUAAAGUAAUAGGUCUAAAUAGUGAGCUCUGUUGUUUCCUUGUGCGUUAAAAUUAGAACCCGAAGUAGCUGAAUGUUAUACGAGAAAGCUAUACAAUAAACAGCAUUUGAUUAACUUAAAGAUAUCUUUGAUAGUUGAACUAGAACGAGAAAUCUGAGUUUAUUCAGGAAGUGACG
Molecule: long non-coding RNA, 3338 nt
Organism: Varroa destructor (honeybee mite)
Lineage: Eukaryota; Metazoa; Arthropoda; Arachnida; Mesostigmata; Varroidae
Source: RefSeq, a predicted model, not a curated record